UGGUUUCAGAACCAGAGGAAUGACCAGCAUUUGAAGGCUACGUAGAAGAUAUUAUGCUUUUGAGAAGAAGCUUCAACAACUCAGAUAUUGUUCAUGUACCUAGGACGGAAAACACAAAAGCGGAUCGUUUGGCACGCGGAUUCAGCCGUCUUUCGUCAUACACAUGGAUGCAGAGUUGCCACCUUGGUUUACAGAGUCUACAUGAGUUUGUGAAUGUUUGCUGUCAAAAAAAAAUGUUAUCCGCAACGGAUGUGCGGGUUAGAAUCUAGUUUGUCAUUAUUGAAUCUGACCUAAAGUUGAUUUUUUUAUGUUUUGUAGAGAGGAGACUCGAGAUUUGAGGGUCAUGAGAUUUUACGUUUCACCAGAGAACAACUGCUUCAUCUUAAAGAGGCAAUCCAAGUCUCUGAGGCAUCUGAUCUUUCCGGCGAAGAGCAGAGCUGGGGCCGUUCAGAAAGCAAGGUGGGGAGAUGAAGAAUCAAGCCAACGAAGCUUUUAAGGGUCACAAGUUCUCCCAUGCUAUUGAUAUGUAUACAAAAUCUAUAGAACUCAGUGGCAAUAACGUUGUGUACUGGUUUCACUUGAGUGGCUGGAGCUUGCAUAAUGAUAAUUGAGUUUUAACAACUUUUGUGAAAGACGGAAUACUCUCGUCUUUAGCAAAACGUGCAAAGGUUAGCCAUUCACAGAGAACUUACUGACUAAACUUGCAGCUUUCAAGAAUGUAGAGUGUUUUGUGGACUAUAACAGACAUUGGCAUUUGCUUGACAGAAAACAAUGGAAGCGGCGGUGGUCGUGAGCGAAGGAGACGACUGCGGUAAUAGAAAAGGUUUGAUCUUUAGAUGUUGAUAGACUUUAGGUUCUGGUUAGGAGGAAACUUUAAACCUUAUAGUACAUUGUUUUUGUAAUGUUGCAUUGUUUUGUCUGCUGAACAAGAAACUACAUUGACAGGAUCCAUUCACUGAAACUGUAGUUUGCAGGAACUAUCCCCACUUGAUGCUCUGUUCUCUACAACGGUGUUACCUGGCUUGAAGAGAUAGUGUUGAAGAGGAUGUCGGUUACUGAUUUGGUUUUAAAAUGCGUUGAACAAGACCAUGACUCUGGCAAACAUAUGCCGUGUAUGUAGCCUACUCUAACAAGAUCUUACAAUUCGAUGUAGGUAUCAAAUAUCAGGGGAAUGGACAUACAACGAAGCUUGUAAACUAUUUAAAGAGCUUGAUUUCUUAACCGAUAAAGUCCAUAGACUUGGCAAUCUUAGGAAGUGCUUUGGUGUAUGUGUAUUUUGGAUGAUAUAUAAAAUAAUGUGUUUUAUAAGUUUAACUAAGUAUAAAUUUU
Long non-coding RNA from Brassica napus (rape), 1329 nucleotides. RefSeq lists it as uncharacterized. The record is from RefSeq and is a predicted model, not a curated record. The transcript has 4 exons. Lineage: Eukaryota; Viridiplantae; Streptophyta; Magnoliopsida; Brassicales; Brassicaceae.